This 2397-nucleotide long non-coding RNA is filed under the name Taeniopygia guttata (zebra finch). RNAcentral's name for it is "lncRNA (ENSTGUG00000029177.1)". The record is from RNAcentral. Lineage: Eukaryota; Metazoa; Chordata; Aves; Passeriformes; Estrildidae.
UUUUUUUUUUUUUUUUUUUCACCAUAUCAGAUCCUAAAUUUGCCAGUUUCAGCCAAGCUCCAACACUGGAUAGGUUGGCUGGUGAGAUAAAUAUGAGGCAAAUAGGUUAUAAAUAUAGUGUGGCUCCUGGCCAAUAAAAUAUAAAAUAAGUAAGCGUGGUAGUUACAAGAAAAAAUAAAUAUAGUCCAAGGCUCAAUCUUGCCUUAGCUUUAGAAAUUCAAUUGGGAGGAAGGGGAGGAAGUCUCACAUGAGUGAGGUUUUCAUCAAUCUGCAAAUGGGAACCUAGGCAAGAAUAUGAAUCCAGUCUUCUGGAACACUGCUUCAUGUUAAAUCUGAUCUUAAAAACUUCAUUGUAUAAAUGGAAUACAUUUUACACUCUCUGUAGGCUAACUAGACCUAUUCAACCUAUAUGGGGGGGGGGGUGGGUGGGAGUGGUUUAUAUUUUGCAAUUACAUCAAUAUUACCUUCAGCUGUGGAGGUGCAAAGUUUGUUUCUUGAAACACUCUCUUACACCCAUUCCCACAGAAUCUUUUUUUCCUGUUUUUUUUUUUUUCUUUUUUUCUUCCUUUGAUGUUUCUCUAAAAGCCUCAACCUAUAUAAAGCAUGUUACAAAAAAAGUUCUGGAAGUCUAUUAAUACAUUCCUGUUAGCGUUCUCUGCAUAUAUGUCACACUGAUCUUUAGGGCUGAAACACUGUUUUUAAUCUGCGCUCGUACAACACACAGUCUAGUGGAAUACCAAAGAUGAGUUUGUAAGCAGUCCUCAAAGCUCCCAGAGCACUCACCCAGCAGGCCCUCUACCUUACUGAUACCUGAUGCUCUGAAAAAUGUUCUCCUGAUUUCUAGCAAUUGUAUUUACAGAUGGAUUCCACUCUGUAAUAAUUGCCAUGGGUAAUUCCUCUUCAGUACUCCUUCUAGGAGCCCAGACUGGUGGUUGCUUUCCCUCGGUCCACGCCUGCAUCAUCUGUGUGGCUUGCAGACCAUGGGAGCCCCACCAGAGCCCAUGUGACAUCCAGUAAGCAGCCCUGGCCAACACUGUUCAAACCCCUUCCCUUGCCUCACUCCCUCAGCUACAACAGGUACAGCUUUUUGCAGGAGUGUGUUGUGAUCUGAAUAAGGGGUUAAAGAGUGUGGUUAAGGUUGGGUUGAAAAUGUUUACAGUUUUUUAAUUAAAUAGGACAUGAUUAUCAAAGUUAUUUUAAAAUUGCAGUCAUCUGCCCCAGCUGUUGCAUGUGGGUCAUCUUAUGGCUUCAGGGACAUCUGUGUAUAACUGAGAGGGUGGUGCAGAGGCAGAAUCUGCUGCUGAUAGAAAUGCCUGUGGAACGAUGAGCUUAGUGUCUUUACUGAGAGAGACGUGUUGACUUCUCUAGAGAGAUUAUGCCCUUGUUGUCAGCCUGCUUGCCAGUUGGCUGUUCCCUUUGUCUGGGCUUCUGCUAUUCAGGUAACAAGUGGUACAAAACUGUGGUUUAUUGUGUGCAGCACAUGAUCUCUGUUCUCUGCAGAUAAAUCAUUCUGACAUGAUGUAGCAGUAGCAAGCUGCUUAGCCCGAACAGCUUCUGUUAUCUAUUUCAGAAGCUUCAGUGGCCUUUAAGUAUUUCAUCACAAAUAAUUUCUGGCAAAUCCAUAAGAAUACCAAGCAAAAAGGAGGAGAGUGAAAGUCCUGAUUACUGUACUACAAUCAGAGAAACACCUUGAUGGGCAGUAUGAAACAUUCCUUAGCUCCUUCCUCAACCAGUAAACCCCUGAUUAUAAAUGACUCUUUAAAGGCUACAUUAGACAGACAUUACAUGAUCAGUUCACUUCCUUGCAUUACUCUGAGACUCUCCCUUCUCAUCAGGUGUGAAACCAUUAGCCAACCAAGCCUUCUAAAUUGUAUCACAGAAACAUUUCUUCUCAGCUAGUAACAAGUAGAUCUCUCAGAAGAAUUCCCAGGAUUAUCUGAUCCUACUCCUUUCACAGAAUUGAAACUCCUUUUUUUCUGAGAGGACUCAAGUACCAACUUCUUUCUCCUGGCCCAGCCUCCCUCUCCAGCUGUUGACUGUGAAAUUCUCCUUAUUUACCCAGCACUUUUACAGGGAUUGGUAAUGCAUCACUAUACUUACUUGCUCCCAACAUCUUUUCCCCUGGAAACUGACAGCAGGAGUCUUUCCACAGAAAAAUAUCUCUGUGAUGUUACAGCUGCAUAUCCAACUCCGUACUCUACUACUUUUCCUGUCUUCUCUCCCACAUGCAACUCCUUUCAGAAAUGACAACCUCAAAAGCAUAUCCUCUGUCAAGAAAAGUUACACAGUUACACCCUUUCCUCAGUGCAGAACAACACCAGUUGGCUCAGUUGGGAAACACUGCCUGAACAUCACAAGCUUUUGACUUGAAUGCAACUACGGAUUUCUUUCUGGAAU